CUCGUAGGCGGCUCCGUAAGUCAGGGGUGAAAUCCAGUGGCUCAACCAUUGACACGCCUCUGAAACUACGGACCUUGAGUCCGGGAGAGGAAAGCGGAAUUCCAGGAGUAGCGGUGAAAUGCGUAGAUAUCUGGAAGAACACCAGUGGCGAAGGCGGCUUUCUGGCCCGGUACUGACGCUGAGGAGCGAAAGCCAGGGGAGCGAACG
RNAcentral lists this ribosomal RNA (207 nucleotides) under uncultured bacterium. RNAcentral describes it as "partial 16S ribosomal RNA". It matches the Rfam family "Bacterial small subunit ribosomal RNA", at positions 568 to 774 of the family's 1533-position model. The record is from RNAcentral.